Molecule: long non-coding RNA, 323 nt
Filed under: Solanum tuberosum (potato)
Lineage: Eukaryota; Viridiplantae; Streptophyta; Magnoliopsida; Solanales; Solanaceae
Description: long non-coding RNA (STUB_LNC006977)
Source: RNAcentral
UGUUGUUGCCCGUAAGGUGUUUGUUUAAGUGUCCGAAUGAAUUCUUUACCUUUGUGGAGGAUGUUUCAUUGUAUUCAAAAUGGUUGCCUGUAAGGUGUUUGUUUAAGUGUCUAAAUGAAUUCUUUAGCUUUGUGAAGGAUAUUUCACUGUCAUGUUGAUUCACUCUGACUAUGACAUUGCACUUUCUAAUUGAGAAUGUCUAUCAUUGAGAUGUUUCUGGUUAACUAAAACUUCAAGUGGUAAUGAUCACCCCGGGGGUACGCGCUAGCGCCUUUGACAUGCACUUUCAUUGUCUGAUAUCUGAAAUGGAACCUUGAUCUAUG